Salvia splendens (bonfire salvia) is the source of this 898-nucleotide long non-coding RNA. RefSeq lists it as uncharacterized. Lineage: Eukaryota; Viridiplantae; Streptophyta; Magnoliopsida; Lamiales; Lamiaceae. The record is from RefSeq and is a predicted model, not a curated record. The transcript is spliced from 3 exons.
UAACUCCGUAUAAAAUUCACAUAGUCAAAUCAUAAUGAGGACUUUAAUGAUGUGGAGACGAUAGGGUGAUUCAUCAUUCUUCCAAUCCUCUAUUCAAUUUUCUUGUUCUGAUUGUGACUUCAGUGAGGUGUCUGGCUCUCAAUUGAAGAAAUUGAGAUAGCAUCAACUGUGUUGACUGUUGACAUGGCCUAAGCGCUUUGACAUAAUCAUGGGAAUCUCCAGAGGGCUGCUAUAUCUUCAUCAAGACUCCAGACUAAAGAUUAUCCAUCGGGAUCUAAAGACGAGCAAUAUUCUACUAGAUGGAGAUUUGAAUCCGAAGAUCUCAGACUUUGGAUUAGCAAGAAUUUUUGGAGAGGACCAAUGCAAUGCUAAAACAAAACGAGUUGUUGGAACCUAUGGCUAUAUGGCUCCAGAAUACGCUUUUGAUGGGAACUAUUCAGUGAUUCUGACGUCUUUGCGUUGGGAGUAAUAUUGUUAGAGAUUGUGAGUGGAAAGAAGAACAAAGGCUGCGACCACUAUUAUAGCCUUUUGGGACAUGCAUGGAUGCUGUGGAAAGAAGGCAACAAAUCUGGAGCUAAUGGAUGAAUGUUUGAGCAAUACAUUGAUUGAAUCUCAAGUGAAAAGAUGCAUACACGUCGGGUUAUUAUGUGUUCAAAAAUAUGCGGAAUAUGGGCCAGUCAUGUCAUCAAUAGUUUCCAUGUUAGGAAGUGAUGGAGCAAUUCUACCCGAUCCUAAGGAACCUGGAUUUUUUGGCAAAAGGAGUCCGUGCUGCAGAACAGUUUCAUGCCAGGAAACAUUCACCAUCACUGAGUUAGAAGCCAGAUGAGGAGAAUAUAGUUAUUGCUAUAAAUUCAAUUGAUAUUAGAAGUGAGGAUAUCUUGUAACUAAGAUGGUAGAU